UCGGGAAUAUUGCGGCAAUGGAGGAAACUCUGACGCAGUGACGCCGCGUGCAGGAAGAAGGUUUUCGGAUUGUAAACUGCUUUAGACAGGGAAGAAAAAGACAGUACCUGUAGAAUAAGCUCCGGCUAACUACGUGCCAGCAGCCGCGGUAAUACGUAGGGAGCAAGCGUUAUCCGGAUUUAUUGGGUGUAAAGGGUGCGUAGACGGAGAGGCAAGUUAGUUGUGAAAUCCCUCGGCUUAACUGAGGAACUGCAACUAAAACUACUUCCCUUGAGUACUGGAGAGGAAAGUGGAAUUCCUAGUGUAGCGGUGAAAUGCGUAGAUAUUAGGAGGAACACCAGUGGCGAAGGCGACUUUCUGGACAGCAACUGACGCUGAGGCGCGAAAGCCAGGGGA
Molecule: ribosomal RNA, 396 nt
Filed under: uncultured Acetivibrio sp.
Lineage: Bacteria; Bacillati; Bacillota; Clostridia; Acetivibrionales; Acetivibrionaceae
Description: bacterial SSU rRNA
Rfam family: Bacterial small subunit ribosomal RNA
Source: RNAcentral